RNAcentral lists this ribosomal RNA (756 nucleotides) under Triticum aestivum (bread wheat). Its description in RNAcentral is "partial small subunit ribosomal RNA". The record is from RNAcentral. Lineage: Eukaryota; Viridiplantae; Streptophyta; Magnoliopsida; Poales; Poaceae.
AUGGCGACGGCGAUGGCCGUGGCGGGAGCAGCCUGCGCCUCCCGGCCGCCGCGCCGGCGAGGACCCGCUCCGCCGGGCGCCGCGGCGGGGGCGGUGGAGAUACGGGUCUGCACGAACCGCACGUGCGCGCGGCAGGGCGGGCGCGAGGUGCUCGCGGCGCUCGAGGGGCUCUCGCCGCCCCCGCCGCGCGUCGACGUGGCGUCCUGCGGGUGCCUGGGCCGCUGCGGGGCCGGGCCCAACGUCGGAGCCACAGUCCCGGGCCGCGGCAACGCCGUGUUCGGCCACGUGGGCACGGCGGCCCGCGCCGCGCGGCUCCUGGAGCACCUCCUCGGCGCCGCCGAGUUCGACGCCGCCGCGGGGCUCGCCGCGCUGGCCCUACGGGAGAAGGCCGAGGCCGCCCUCGCCGACGGGGACGCCGCCCAGGCGGAGGACCUCUUCACCGAGAGCAUCGCAAUGGAUGCUCCUGGUGGACUGCACCUGGCCUACGGAGGCAGGUGCAAGGCGAGAUUGGUGAUUGGGGAUAGCGCCGGCGCGCUCGCGGAUGCAGAUGAAGCGAUAAGGAUAGCUCCCAAAUUUCCUCAGUGUCACUUGUUGCGAGGGGACGCGCUGUUUGCAAUGGGAGAGUACCACUACGCAGAGGAUGCGUAUGCACGCGCCUUGGAUCUUGACCCAUCUAUUCGUCGCUCCAAGUCUUUCAAGGCCCGCUUGGAAAAGCUACGGGAGAAGCUUGUCAGUGUCAGCAGUAGUUCGUCAUAG